RNAcentral lists this ribosomal RNA (497 nucleotides) under uncultured bacterium. RNAcentral's name for it is "partial 16S ribosomal RNA". It matches the Rfam family "Bacterial small subunit ribosomal RNA", at positions 28 to 507 of the family's 1533-position model. The record is from RNAcentral.
GAUGAACGCUGGCGGCGUGCCUAAUACAUGCAAGUCGAGCGAACAGACGAGGAGCUUGCUCCUCUGACGUUAGCGGCGGACGGGUGAGUAACACGUGGAUAACCUACCUAUAAGACUGGGAUAACUUCGGGAAACCGGAGCUAAUACCGGAUAAUAUAUUGAACCGCAUGGUUCAAUAGUGAAAGACGGUUUUGCUGUCACUUAUAGAUGGAUCCGCGCCGCAUUAGCUAGUUGGUAAGGUAACGGCUUACCAAGGCGACGAUGCGUAGCCGAACUGAGAGGGUGACCGGCCACACUGGAACUGAGACACGGUCCAGACUCCUACGGGAGGCAGCAGUAGGGAAUCUUCCGCAAUGGGCGAAAGCCUGACGGAGCAACGCCGCGUGAGUGAUGAAGGUCUUCGGAUCGUAAAACUCUGUUAUUAGGGAAGAACAAAUGUGUAAGUAACUAUGCACGUCUUGACGGUACCUAAUCAGAAAGCCACGGCUAACUACGUG